Molecule: ribosomal RNA, 253 nt
Filed under: uncultured bacterium
Lineage: Bacteria
Description: partial 16S ribosomal RNA
Rfam family: Bacterial small subunit ribosomal RNA
Source: RNAcentral
GACAGAGGUGCCGAGCGUUAGGCGGAAUCACUGGGCUUAAAGCGUGUGUAGGCGGACCGUUAAGUACCUUGUGAAAUCCCACGGCUCAACCGUGGAACUGCUGGGUAUACUGGCGGUCUUGGGCCACCUAGGGGCAGAUGGAACAGACGGUGGAGCGGUGAAAUGCGUAGAUAUCGUCUGGAACGCCGAAGGUGAAAACAGUCUGCUGGGGGUGUGCCGACGCUGAGACACGAAAGCCAGGGGAGCAAACGGG